RNAcentral lists this long non-coding RNA (225 nucleotides) under Homo sapiens (human). Its description in RNAcentral is "HSALNT0141342". The record is from RNAcentral. Lineage: Eukaryota; Metazoa; Chordata; Mammalia; Primates; Hominidae.
UGCCAACAGGAACAUUCUUGACAUCUUCCACAAAAACCACUUCCCGAAGAGACCACUGCUCUUCAUUCACCUUUUCCUCUUCUUUUGGUGCAGGGGUUGACCGUCGUCGUUCUUAGACAACAACAAAAUGGGAUAGGGCAAUGUCCCCCACGGUGAUAAGGCCUGGAUGAGCCAAUUACACCCCUACAGGCCCUGAAAACCCACUAUGGACAAAUGAAGAUGAAU